RNAcentral lists this ribosomal RNA (301 nucleotides) under uncultured bacterium. Its description in RNAcentral is "partial 16S ribosomal RNA". It matches the Rfam family "Archaeal small subunit ribosomal RNA", at positions 459 to 760 of the family's 1478-position model. The record is from RNAcentral.
CAGUAGCCGCGGUAAAACCAGCACCUCGAGUGGUCAGGAGGUUUAUUGGGCCUAAAGCAUCCGUAGCCGGUUGCAUAAGUUUUCGGUUAAAUCUAUGCGCUUAACGUAUAGGCCGCCGAAAAUACUGUGCAGCUAGGGAGGGGGAGAGGUACACGGUACUCGAUAGGAAGGGGUAAAAUCCUUUGAUCUAUUGAUGACCACCUGUGGCGAAGGCGGUGUACCAGAACACGUUCGACGGUGAGGGAUGAAAGCUGGGGGAGCAGACCGGAUUAGAUACCCCUGUAGUCCAUGUCUCUUAUAC